This 515-nucleotide ribosomal RNA is filed under the name uncultured bacterium. RNAcentral describes it as "partial 16S ribosomal RNA". It matches the Rfam family "Bacterial small subunit ribosomal RNA", at positions 28 to 523 of the family's 1533-position model. The record is from RNAcentral.
GAUGAACGCUGGCGGCGUGCCUAAUACAUGCAAGUCGAGCGAAUGGAUUAAGAGCUUGCUCUUAUGAAGUUAGCGGCGGGCGGGUGAGUAACACGUGGGUAACCUGCCCAUAAGACUGGGAUAACUCCGGGAAACCGGGGCUAAUACCGGAUAACAUUUUGAACCGCAUGGUUCGAAAUUGAAAGGCGGCUUCGGCUGUCACUUAUGGAUGGACCCGCGACGCAUUAGCUAGUUGGUGAGGUAACGGCGCACCAAGGCAACGAUGCGUAGCCGACCUGCGAAGGUGAUCGGCCACCACGGUACUGUGCACCGGCCCAGCCUCCUACGGGAGGCAGCAGUAGGGAAUCGUCCGAAAUGGACGAAAGUCUGACGGAGCAACGCCGCGUGAGUGAUGAAGGCUUUCGUGUCGUAAAACUCUGUUGUUAGGGAAGAACAAGUGCUAGUUGACUAAGCUGGCACCUUGACGGUACCUAACCAGAAAGCCACGGCUAACUACGUGCCAGCCGCCGCGGUAA